GCCCUUACCCGUGCCCGACGGUUUCCUCCUUCUCCUCCUCCUACUUCUUCUCUCAAACUUGAUCCUCUUCCCAUCUCCCUCGCGCGCACGCCCUCAACACUCUGCCGCCACCGGCGAGAGCCCGAUUUCCUCUCAUCUGGCCGACGCGACGUCGGCCCUCGAUCCGCGGCUUCCUCUGCCCUAGCCCCAGCCGAGCAGCGCUGACUUUCCUUUUCCCUCGCGCCGCCACUGCGCGGAAGUGCCGCCGGCCGCCACUGUGCCCUGCCGACGCCGCUGCCCUCUCUCGACCCGAGCAGGGCCGCCAUCCUUCUGCCCUAUCGUCGGUGACCCGCCCCUUUUCAGUGCCGCUCUUCCUCAGCCCUAGCGCUGACGACGCCCGAGCCUCUCCCUCUUCGUGAGUUGCUGCCGUCGCCACUCGCCGUGGAGAUCCCAGCGCCGCUGCCCUUCACCCGUCGCCAUUGGCCCUUCCUCCUCUGAUGGUGGACUUGACCGGAGGCUGACAGAGGUGCUGGCUGGUUGUAGGCUUUCCUUUCCCGAGCCUAGACUUGAUCUUCUGUCAUCGCGUCACUGUACGUCGCAACUCCUAUCACCGGACCCUGUUACAUCACCAUAUCACUGCCUUGCUGGUGCCUCUUCUCCCGACCCUGUUCGUGUAGAGAGAUCGACAAGGAUUUGGCUGCGAGUAUAAGUAGAACAUGGGUGGCUAUUGUAUGGUGGAAGAUUUUUGGAUAAGCUUAAGGAUAGGGACUCUGAUUCGAGACGAGCAUCUCGACAUCGGAUUUGGACUGGAUUGGACCUUCCUAUU
Zingiber officinale is the source of this 805-nucleotide long non-coding RNA. RefSeq lists it as uncharacterized. The record is from RefSeq and is a predicted model, not a curated record. The transcript is spliced from 3 exons. Lineage: Eukaryota; Viridiplantae; Streptophyta; Magnoliopsida; Zingiberales; Zingiberaceae.